CAUACCCAGAAAUGAUGUUUUACCAGCUAUCUGGCUCAGAGUAAAAUGCAUCUUCCACUUAAGAGACAGACACUUUUGUGACUUUGUCAAGAACCUUAGCCCUGCCCAGCCUCAGCUGCCUUACUUGUAAAAUACAGCUUGAAAAAGCUGCCCAAAGGCCAAGGUUAUGACAG
Molecule: non-coding RNA, 173 nt
Organism: Microcebus murinus (gray mouse lemur)
Lineage: Eukaryota; Metazoa; Chordata; Mammalia; Primates; Cheirogaleidae
Source: RefSeq, a predicted model, not a curated record